CCAAUGUAUUCUCGCUGCCUUCUAGAUAAUUUAUUUUGCCACACAUUACUGCACAGUUGUAAAUAACUUAUGUACUGUAACAUCACUCAGUUAAGAGUAAAAAAAUAAAUGAAUAAAAGUUAUCAUUGUAUGUACAGUUCACUUUCGGGCAGCACUUCCCCCUCACCCCAACAUCCCCCACCAAACAAACACACCACCCCCCGGCCAAAAGGUGUACGCAUCGUCAGUAUUUUCAAGACUUCCAUGCAGUGGUCCUUAAGGUUUCUGUCCAAGGCUAGUCAAAGUAAAUCUAGAUCGUCAUCACCACCGUCAUUAGGAAACACCAUUUCUCCUGAUUACUCUGUCAGGGCCAGGACCAUAGUUUUCAGAUGUAGCAGAGUGAUUAUGGAUUUAUUUAAAGAAUAGUAGAGGUAUAUUAUUCAUCGUUUUAUUACACAAGUAUAUAUCUUUAAAAAGUAUAAACCAAGAAAAUGCCUUUAUACAGUUAACGUCUCUGAUUUCUUCUAAAGCUGCACAAGUCAUAGGUAGGAAAGGACGUGAUUUGGAGCCUGCUUCAUUUGGGUCUGUCUAAAUAUAAAAGCACGCCAUGAACGGUGUAGUACAUAUUUGAAUUUAUUACCCAUUGUACAAUUAGAAUCAUGGAAGUUUUUGUUUUGUGUGUCAUGCCCUCUGAUCAUGUUACAUUCGUUUUUAAGACACGAAACUGCACAUUUCUUUUAAUCCCCCUCACAUACCCUCUCUUCAGCACUAUACGACCGUUCUGAAAGAUCUUAGCAAUUAGGAGUUUGGACAUUUUUCUGCUUUUCUCUUAUUUUUUUAAAUGUUCGGUUUUACAAAAGCGAGGUUCUAAAUAUUAUCUGCAAAUAAAAGAAAAUGCAUUAUUGCAUCAGACAAACGUUUUGCAUUUGUUCACUCAGUCGCUAAGCAAUUUUUAAUUUGUCGUUAAUUUGUGUUCUCGGCACCCUCCGUUAUUAGCAACGUACUGAUACGGACUUUUACAGAUCAUUAUGGCAGAACAAAACAUGCACACCUCCGUUCCUGGACUAUUUGUAUACAUGGGCUCUCUGACUGUUUUUCCAUAUUUAACAUUCUUGUGAAUCUCCCGUCACAGUAUUUUUUUUUUUUUUUAAUGCACCAAUGUCAGUUAUUCUCGGAUUUUGGUUUAUCCUUCACCAUCUGAUUACAUUUUACAGUACAUUUAGAUGUUUAAAUUCAUCAAUAAACAGGGGACAAGCAAGGUUGUUUUUUUUUUCUUAUAGAGGGUUUAUUUUUAAUUAUUAGAUAUCGUUUUUUGGGGUGAGUGGAAAUUGAAAUGUGUUUUGAUAUUUUACCCUUUCUCAUUACAUGCCUGUACUUCAGUGUGAGGCUGUGUGAUGUUUGCUUAACCAUCCAGGCUAGUGUUUUUUUUGUUGUUCCAUGUGAGGUUGUGAGUCUGUGAAAAUCCCACAUGACGCAGUUCUGUAUGUGUGCAUUGAGUCUGGGUGCAACAGGUGUCACUAGUUCCACAGGUGAUUGUUCCUGGUAUUUUGUGAGUACUGUGCAGUGCAAAACAAACAGAUUCUUCCGAGUGCAUAAUAUGAAUAGCUUUCUGUUCAGAUUAUGUUCACUUUUAGUGCUUUCUUUUGUGUUGUGUGGUUUCUCUAACAAAAUUUCAGAUAAGCGCUUUUGCUGUUAUUAGGUGCAUUUUUUCCCCCCAUGGAACCGAAAUAGUGACUUGUUCAUCAAAUGGUUUAUGUAUCAUCCCUAAGCCCCUGUAUACUUGGUGUUUACACGAUGAUAUGUGAAUUUCCACUGUCCUCUGACCUGUUGAAAACGUUUUGGGUUCCCACAACUGAUUCAAUUUAAAAAGGCUUGAAAUUGUUAUUUGCAUUUGAGCUUUACUAUUCAGCACUCUCAAGCCAUAAAACCAUUGAACUUUUAUUUCAUAAUCAUUCUAAAUAUACUGUAUUGGGACUUACUGAUCAUGAGAUUGGACAACAGAAAUCUUGCAUAUGCUUGCCUGUUGACUCACUGACCUCUGUCUGCAACACAUUACCUCUACCAAGUACACUGAUUAUUCCAUUUAGUGAUGGGAUAGAUUGUGCUGAGCCACAAUUUCAAGCCUUGUUUUAACAAUUUUUCCUCAGUAUCCACAAAUCCAACAGAUGAUUCUUGAAAUGGAACUGAACUCCUCUUACUCAUGUUGAACUCUUCAUAAAUAGUGAGAAAUAACCUAUUUAUUAUCUUUCUGACACCUGUGGUAUGUUUGAGUUGAAGGUCUCCGCUGUGUAAAUUUUCCUCUUGUAAUGUGUAAACGAGACGUUGUACAUAACUGUAAAUAAUAUUCCAGGACGUUUUGCACCCUCCUCUUUGUACUAGUCUAAACUUGCGUAGAAUGUGAGGUUCUAACAGCAACGAGACGUGUCGCGCUCGCUGCCGGUGAUGUAACAAUGUAUCUUUUUUUAUUUGUACAAUGUAGUUCAAUUGUGUACAUAUUGUUGGAGCAGCUAUGGGAGGGAGGGGUUUGUUGAUGCUAUCGUCAGUGCUGUCGAAGAUCCAGUACUUUCACCUUUAGCUGUGUUGAUAUCCUGCAAUUCAAAAGGCGAGAAACUAAAAAUACAAAAAAUCAACAACAAAAAAAACCUUAACGGAGAGGAAAAAUUCAAAAUUGUUAUUUUCUACACUUGCAUGUACAGAGAGCGCGAGAACUGCUGUUGUUCCUCAGAGAUUAUGUUCAUAAAUACAUUUUUGAAAUGA
This is a long non-coding RNA of Sinocyclocheilus anshuiensis, 2736 nucleotides long. RefSeq lists it as uncharacterized. Lineage: Eukaryota; Metazoa; Chordata; Actinopteri; Cypriniformes; Cyprinidae. The transcript has 2 exons. The record is from RefSeq and is a predicted model, not a curated record.